AAUCCGUGUUGAGGGCAACAGUGAAUCAAAUAUUUAUACAUUUCCCAUGCUUCAUAGAGUGACUCGAAAUCAUUUUGCUUGAAUUGAUCAAUUUCGCUCCUGAGUUU
Small nucleolar RNA from Juglans regia (Persian walnut), 107 nucleotides. The record is from RefSeq and is a predicted model, not a curated record. NCBI's taxonomy places the organism in Eukaryota, Viridiplantae, Streptophyta, Magnoliopsida, Fagales, Juglandaceae.